UAACGCGAAGAACCUUACCAGGUCUUGACAUACUAUGCAAAUCUAAGAGAUUAGACGUUCCCUUCGGGGACAUGGAUACAGGUGGUGCAUGGUUGUCGUCAGCUCGUGUCGUGAGAUGUUGGGUUAAGUCCCGCAACGAGCGCAACCCUUAUUAUCAGUUGCCAGCAUUAAGUUGGGCACUCUGGUGAGACUGUCGGUGACAAACCGGAGGAAGGUGGGGAUGACGUCAAAUCAUCAUGCCCCUUAUGACCUGGGCUACACACGUGCUACAAUGGAUGGUACAACGAGUUGCGAACUCGCGAGAGUAAGCUAAUCUCUUAAAGCCAUUCUCAGUUCGGAUUGUAGGCUGCAACUCGCCUACAUGAAGUCGGAAUCGCUAGUAAUCGCGGAUCAGC
RNAcentral lists this ribosomal RNA (395 nucleotides) under uncultured bacterium. RNAcentral's name for it is "bacterial SSU rRNA". It matches the Rfam family "Bacterial small subunit ribosomal RNA", at positions 957 to 1353 of the family's 1533-position model. The record is from RNAcentral.